GUCCUGGCCGUAAACGAUGGAUACUAGGUGUGGGGGGUAUCGACCCCUUCCGUGCCGGAGUUAACGCAAUAAGUAUCCCGCCUGGGGAGUACGGCCGCAAGGCUGAAACUCAAAGGAAUUGACGGGGACCCGCACAAGCGGUGGAGUAUGUGGUUUAAUUCGACGCAACGCGAAGAACCUUACCAGGGCUUGACAUUGAGUGAAAGACUAAGAGAUUAGUUCCUCAUCUUCGGAUGACACAAAAACAGGUGGUGCAUGGCUGUCGU
Molecule: ribosomal RNA, 266 nt
Filed under: uncultured bacterium
Lineage: Bacteria
Description: partial 16S ribosomal RNA
Rfam family: Bacterial small subunit ribosomal RNA
Source: RNAcentral